UGCCUGUAAUCGCAGUUACUUGGGAGGCUGAGGAAGGAGAAUCACUUGAACCCGGGAGGGAGAGGUUGUGGUGAGCUGAGAUUAUGCCAUUGCACUCCAACUUGGGCAAUGAGAGUGAAAAUCUGUCUCAAAAAGAAAUUUUUUUGGUCAAUUCUGCUUGGUUUCUUUCUCACACUGUGUGCUUGUGCAUGUGUGUGCAUGUGUGCACGUGUGAGUCGUUGGAAAAUCAGUGGCAGACAGCGUGUCACUUCCCCCUGAACACUCCAGCAGCAUCUCCUAAACACAGGCACAUUCUCUGACAUAACCUCAGUGCUGCUCUUGGUGCUAUUAUUCUUUUAAGAAAAGAAUGGAAGGGAAAAUGUACUUGGCUUAGGAACGUGACAAAUCCCCAGUGAGGCCUGGCUGCCAAGAGUGAGAACAUGAGGCAGCCAGCUGGGAGAGUCUCCUUCCCUUGCUUUGAGGGAAAUCCGAGGCCGAGCUUGUAUUCACAUCAUGACUUGAGCUUUACUUUGCUGUGCUUUCCAGGUGAUUCACAUGGGCAGGCAUGAUUUCAUCUGGAUGUGGAGGACCAUCUCUCAGGGACUCUAAUUCCAGUGAACCAGUGAGAAACUCAGUCAUUUGUCUUUUGUUCUUUUUUUUCCUCUUUUUACUUCACUGUCAAGUUUUGAACAAGCAUAGACAUUGAGGAAGUCUCAUUCUUCUCAGACAGGCAGUCACUGCAUACCGUGUGGUUACAUCUUGCUGGUCAUCCAAAAAAAAUGCAAAUUCUUACCGGUGAAGAGAUAGCUUAGGGCCACAUUAGUAAGUGUCCCCACGUUAGUGUCCACAGUGCGUGUUUGGUGGAUGGUGAGGCUUGGUCCUUUGAAAGGAACAGCAAGCCCCGUGGGCACCCUUCGUGCACAGGAGUGCACGUUUAGGUCAUACUAGUUUUCGAGAACAAUUCCAAAGCGUGCCCUGGGACCUCCAAAACUACAUUGAAACCAGUGAGCUACAACACUCCAUCAUCCCUCCAAACAACAACGAAGAGUUGAUGAAGCAAUGGAUACUAAAGACGGAAAACUGCAAUAUGUUCCUUUUUUAAAGCUAUUUUCCUUCUGAAUAAUUUUUUUUUUUUUUUUUUUUUUUUGAGACAGAGUCUGGCUCUGACAUCCAGGCUGGAGUGCAGUGGCAUGAUCUUGGCUCACUGCAGCCUCAACUUCCCAGGCUUAAGCCAUCCUCUCACCUCAGACUCCCGAGUAAUUGGGACCCCAGGUGUGCGCCACCAUGCCUGGCUCACUUUUUCUAUUUUUUUCUAGAGACGAGGUCUCACUAUAUUGCCCAGGCUAGCCUUGACCUUCUAGACUGAAGCUAUCUUCCCCGCUUGGCCUCCUAAACACUUUGGGAGGCUGAGGCAGGUGGAUGACCUGAGGUCGGGAGUUCGAGGCCAGCCUGACCAAUAUGGAGAAACCCCAUCUCUACUAAAAAUACAAAAAUUAGCCGGGCAUGGUGGCCUAUGCUUAUAAUCCCAGCUACUAGGGAGGCUGAGGCAGGAGAAUCGCUUGAACCCGGGAGGCGGAGAUUGCAGUGAGCCGAGAUCGUGCCAUUGCGCUCUAGCCUGGGCUGCAAGAGCAAAACUCCAUUUCAAAAAAAAAAAAAAAAAAA
RNAcentral lists this long non-coding RNA (1641 nucleotides) under Macaca mulatta (Rhesus monkey). RNAcentral's name for it is "lncRNA (ENSMMUG00000050908.1)". The record is from RNAcentral. Lineage: Eukaryota; Metazoa; Chordata; Mammalia; Primates; Cercopithecidae.